GACGACACUGUUUAAUCUGUCCUCUGAGGUCCAAAACUGAGGGACAAAUAAAGUAAAGUUACCAGACAAAUCAGCUUCACUCCUUCUAGUGAGGAGGAGUCAAUGCAAAACUCAGAUGUCUUCCACCUCUACUUAUCUGACUGCAGAGAGGAGGACAGAGGACAGUGGACACACAGUUUAACAUGAUGGACUAUAGGACAGGACUGCUGCUUUUAACCAUCUGCUGCUGGACAGGUGUUUCCAGUCAGACUCUGACUGAGUCUGAACCAGCGGUAAAGCGCCCAGGAGAUUCACACAAACUGACAUGUACUUAUGCAGGAAUAUCAGAUAGCGAUGCUGCUAUCGCCUGGAUCAGACAAGCUGAAGGAAAAGGACUGGAGUGGGUUGCCUAUAUUACUGCUCCGAGUGGAAGCACUAAAGCUUAUUCCACGUCAGUCCAGAAUCGGUUCACCAUCUCCAGAGACAACAACGUGGACCAGGUGUAUCUGCAGAUGAGCAGCCUGACGACUGAAGACUCUGCUGUUUAUUACUGUGCUCGAGAGCCACAGUGAUACAGGAAGCCACAGAGCCGUACACAAACCACCACAGAUGUCACUGCACCAGUCACUAUAAACAUACACCGAUCAGCCAUAACAUUAAGACCACCUGCCUAUUAUUCAGUAGGUCCCCCUUUUGCUGCCAAACCAGCCCUGACCUGUGGAGGCAUGGACUCCACUAGACCUCUGAAGGUCUGCUGUGGUAUCUGGCACCAAGCCGUCAGUAGCAGAUCCUUUAAAUCCUGUAGGUUGCAAGGUGGGGCCUCUGUGGAUCGGACUUGUUCGUCCAGCUCAUCCCACAGAUGCUCCAU
Molecule: non-coding RNA, 847 nt
Organism: Sebastes umbrosus (honeycomb rockfish)
Lineage: Eukaryota; Metazoa; Chordata; Actinopteri; Perciformes; Sebastidae
Source: the annotation of a RefSeq genome assembly